GGUCCUAAGGUAGCGAAAUUCCUUGUCGGGUAAGUUCCGACCUGCACGAAUGGCGUAAUGAUGGCCAGGCUGUCUCCACCCGAGACUCAGUGAAAUUGAACUCGCUGUGAAGAUGCAGUGUACCCGCGGCAAGACGGAAAGACCCCGUGAACCUUUACUAUAGCUUGACACUGAACAUUGAGCCUUGAUGUGUAGGAUAGGUGGGAGGCUUUGAAGCGUGGACGCCAGUCUGCGUGGAGCCAACCUUGAAAUACCACCCUUUAAUGUUUGAUGUUCUAACGUUGGCCCCUUAUCGGGGUUGCGGACAGUGUCUGGUGGGUAGUUUGACUGGGGCGGUCUCCUCCCAAAGCGUAACGGAGGAGCACGAAGGUUAGCUAAUCCUGGUCGGACAUCAGGAGGUUAGUGCAAUGGCAUAAGCUAGCUUGACUGCGAGCGUGACGGCGCGAGCAGGUGCGAAAGCAGGUCAUAGUGAUCCGGUGGUUCUGAAUGGAAGGGCCAUCGCUCAACGGAUAAAAGGUACUCCGGGGAUAACAGGCUGAUACCGCCCAAGAGUUCAUAUCGACGGCGGUGUUUGGCACCUCGAUGUCGGCUCAUCACAUCCUGGGGCUGAAGUAGGUCCCAAGGGUAUGGCUGUUCGCCAUUUAAAGUGGUACGCGAGCUGGGUUUAGAACGUCGUG
This 677-nucleotide ribosomal RNA is filed under the name Klebsiella quasipneumoniae subsp. similipneumoniae. Its description in RNAcentral is "bacterial LSU rRNA". It matches the Rfam family "Bacterial large subunit ribosomal RNA", at positions 1947 to 2623 of the family's 2925-position model. The record is from RNAcentral. Lineage: Bacteria; Pseudomonadati; Pseudomonadota; Gammaproteobacteria; Enterobacterales; Enterobacteriaceae.